CAGUCCAAGAAGAAUGUCAGGGCCUCUGCCUGACUACACUCAGGAACCCUGCUUGAAAAUAAUCAUCAAAAUUCUGUGUCACACUAACCCAAACCCUGUACCCUGUAUUGUACAAUUAGCAAAUGAGCAUGUUUUUCAUUUUGCAUAACUUCUGAUGUUCCUGUUACUGAUGAGCAAGGGGAAAAAAAGGACUGCAGGUUAUCAAAACUCAGCCCAUUCCUACUUCUUACCGCAUUCAUCUUUGGAGAGUUAACCAAAGUUUUUCCAGUUUACUUUCACGCCAGUAUUUGUUGCCUUUUGAGCUUGUUGGGUGAGCCAUCCACUAAUGUGUUUACAGGUGGACAUACAGAAAAUGACCCCCCCUAAUAAUCUGUGCACAUAACUGGGUAGAUAGGAAUAUACAUCCUUACGCCUCCAGGACAACCCAGUCACCCCUAUUUUGAGGUUAAGCUGUGUAGACAUAAUAGUGUACCAUUCAGGCUUAGUUACAGGCACUACCCACCCGGCUGCUAUUUGUGCCAAUUUCUGCAUAUUCCAUUUGUAGCCCAGGGUGAGGUGCAAUAAAAAAAAGUUAGGUUCCCCUCUAACCAUGUCUCAGUAAUCACCAUGGCACUGUUCAAUUUCUGUAUAUUAGCUAUGUGUGAGUCGUCCUUUCAUAUGCUUGAGCAAUGCCCAGGAAAAGCAAAUAUCUGUAUCACUACAACCUGCCAUAUCUGUUUGAAUAUUGUCUCCCAAACCUUUGUCUGCUUCUACAGAGCAGAAAAGAGAAUAUGCAGACUGUAUGUUGAAUUAUGGUGUUGGAGGAGACUCUUGAGAGUCCCAUGGACUGCAAGAAGAUCAAACCUAUCCAUUCUUAAGGAAAUCAGCCCUGAGUGCUCACUGGAAGGACAGAUCCUGAAGCGGAGGCUCCAAUACUUUGACCACCUCAUGAUAAGAGAAGACUCCCUGGAAAAGACCCUGAUGUUGGGAAAGGUGGAGGGCACAAGGAGAAGGGGAUGACAGAGGACGAGAUGGUUGGACAGUGUUCUCGAAACUACCAGCAUGAGUUUGACCAAACUGCAGGAGGCAGUAGAAGAUAGGAGUGCCCUGGUCCAUGGAGUCACAAAGAGUCAGACACGACUAAAUGACUAAACAUGUUGAUCUCUGGCUUGGCAGUGGAUAAUUCCUGCUCUCUAUCACUGCUGCCAGCUCUCUCUGAUGGCCUUUUCCAGGGUUGGGGUCGGCUACAGUGGGCUUCCCCCUCUAGAACCCAACAGUAGCAAUACUUAGGCUUGUCUUGCUAUCCCUUUCUGCCAAUAACUGGAGCUAUGGUGACUCUGUAACUACCAUCUGCAAACAGGUUUUCCUGGUGGACACUUUAGUACAGAGCUUUCCAAACUUUUCAUGUCUGUGACACUCUUU
This is a non-coding RNA of Podarcis lilfordi (Lilford's wall lizard), 1401 nucleotides long. Lineage: Eukaryota; Metazoa; Chordata; Lepidosauria; Squamata; Lacertidae. The record is from the annotation of a GenBank genome assembly.